AAGCGUUUCCGCGUCUUGUUGGCCCAAUCUUUUGGAUAAGGUAUCAUGGAGGUGAGAAUCCCGUACGGCUGAUAUCAUGACGUUUUACGAUACGCUUUCAAAGAGUCGAGUUGUUUGGGAUUGCAGCUCUAAAUGGGAGGUAAAUUUCUCCUAAGGCUAAAUAUUGGCGAGAGACCGAUAGCGAACAAGUACCGUGAGGGAAAGAUGAAAAGAACUUUGAAAAGAGAGUUAAAAAGUACGUGAAAUUGUUGAAAGGGAAACGAUUGAAGUCAGUCGUACCGACGAGAAAUCAACUCAACGAAUGGGUAAUUGCGGGCGUAUGAGAGCUUCGCGGUCUCAUUGUUUGUAAAUGCAUGUUCUUUGGGUGUACUUUUUCGUAUGGUAGGUCAACGUCGGUUUCGAUUGUUAUAAAAUGAUCGGAGGAAUGUAGCUUCGAUUUCGAUUGAAGUGUUAUAGCCUUUGGUAGAUAUAUUGAUCGAGACCGAGGAUUGCAACGAAUACCCUUUCGGGCUAUCCGUCUGACCUCUGAAAGUUGCUUAGGUGCCGAAAGCUUGC
Molecule: ribosomal RNA, 555 nt
Filed under: uncultured Glomus
Lineage: Eukaryota; Fungi; Glomeromycota; Glomeromycetes; Glomerales; Glomeraceae
Description: partial large subunit ribosomal RNA
Rfam family: Eukaryotic large subunit ribosomal RNA
Source: RNAcentral